CUUCAAAAAUCAUAGUUCACUUCAAAUCAGAAUGGUACAGAGAAGAUUCGUAUGGACCCUGGGCAAGGAUAAGAUGCAAAUUUGUGAAGCAUUCCAUAUUGCA
Small nuclear RNA from Gracilinanus agilis (Agile Gracile Mouse Opossum), 103 nucleotides. The record is from RefSeq and is a predicted model, not a curated record. NCBI's taxonomy places the organism in Eukaryota, Metazoa, Chordata, Mammalia, Didelphimorphia, Didelphidae.